UUUUCCCUCAUUUUCUCUAUCAUUCAAUCACCACCAAAUUUUUUUCUUUCUUUCUUCAGUCAAAAACCCCAAAAAAUUUUCCCCCACUUUUUCACCAUCCAAUCACCAUCAAAAUUUCUUAUUUUAUGAUAUCAUAUGCAUUAACGGAAAUAUCUUUUAUUGCCCAUUAUUAUAUUAUAUUGACAAUUAAAUAUCUUUUUAUCUUUAUUAUUAAAUUUAUAAACUUAAUAUUUGUAUUCUAAAAUAUUUAUUCCAAAAUCCAAAUAUAUUAUACCAAGUCUAAAC
Molecule: long non-coding RNA, 285 nt
Filed under: Gossypium barbadense (sea-island cotton)
Lineage: Eukaryota; Viridiplantae; Streptophyta; Magnoliopsida; Malvales; Malvaceae
Description: long non-coding RNA (GBAR_LNC013241)
Source: RNAcentral